This 69-nucleotide transfer RNA is filed under the name Notacanthus chemnitzii (spiny eel). RNAcentral describes it as "tRNA-Ala". It matches the Rfam family "tRNA". From Rfam's summary of the family: Transfer RNA (tRNA) molecules are approximately 80 nucleotides in length. Their secondary structure includes four short double-helical elements and three loops (D, anti-codon, and T loops). Lineage: Eukaryota; Metazoa; Chordata; Actinopteri; Notacanthiformes; Notacanthidae. The record is from RNAcentral.
AAGGCUUUAGCUUAAUUAAAGCGUUUGAGUUGCAUUCAUAAAAUAUGGGUUAAAGUCCCGUAAGCCUUA